CUGUGCAAAGGUAGCAUAAUCAUUAGUUUUUUAAUUGAAAGCUGGAAUGAACGGUUUGAUAAAAAAAAUUCUGUCUCAAUUUUAAUUUUGGAAUUUUAUUUUUAAGUUAAAAAGCUUAAAUUUUUUAAAAAGACGAGAAGACCCCAUAGAGUUUUACAAUUGUUUAUUUGAUUUUUGUUUUGAUUUAAUUUUGAGAUUGAAUUAAUGUUGUUUUAUUGGGGUGAUAUGAAAAUUUAAGUAACUUUUUAUUUAUUUUAACAUUAAUUUAUGAAUAUUUGAUCCUAAAUUUUGGAUUAUAAGAUAAAAUUACCUUGGGGAUAACAGCGUAAUUUUUUUUGAGAGUUCUAAUCGAAAAAAGAGUUUGCGACCUCGAUGUUGGAUUAAAGUAAAAUUUUGGUGUAGAAGUUAAAAUUUUAAGUCUGUUCGACUUUUUAAACU
This 438-nucleotide ribosomal RNA is filed under the name Chrysanthia geniculata. RNAcentral describes it as "partial 16S ribosomal RNA". It matches the Rfam family "Bacterial large subunit ribosomal RNA", at positions 1946 to 2595 of the family's 2925-position model. The record is from RNAcentral. Lineage: Eukaryota; Metazoa; Arthropoda; Insecta; Coleoptera; Oedemeridae.